RNAcentral lists this ribosomal RNA (406 nucleotides) under uncultured bacterium. Its description in RNAcentral is "partial 16S ribosomal RNA". It matches the Rfam family "Bacterial small subunit ribosomal RNA", at positions 30 to 526 of the family's 1533-position model. The record is from RNAcentral.
AUUGAACGCUGGCGGCAGGCCUAACACAUGCAAGUCGAACGAGUGGCGGACGGGUGAGUAAUGUCUGGGAAACUGCCCGAUGGAGGGGGAUAACUACUGGAAACGGUAGCUAAUACCGCAUACCAUCGGAUGUGCCCAGAUGGGAUUAGCUAGUAGGUGGGGUAAAGGCUCACCUUGGCGACGAUCACUAGCUGGUCUGAGAGGAUGACCGGCCACACUGGAACGGAGACACGGUCCAGACUCCUCCGAGAGGCAGCAGUGGGGAAUAUUGCACAAUGUGCGCAAGCCUGAUGCAGCCAUGCCGCGUGUAUGAAUGAGGCCUUCGGGUUGUAAAGUACUUUCAGCGGGGAGGCGUUACCCGCAGAAGACGCACCGGCUAACUCCGUGCCAGCAGCCGCGGUAAUAC